Molecule: Y RNA, 115 nt
Filed under: Propithecus coquereli (Coquerel's sifaka)
Lineage: Eukaryota; Metazoa; Chordata; Mammalia; Primates; Indriidae
Description: Y RNA (ENSPCOG00000003055.1)
Rfam family: Y RNA
About the family: Y RNAs are components of the Ro ribonucleoprotein particle (Ro RNP), in association with Ro60 and La proteins.
Source: Rfam by way of RNAcentral
GGCUCGUCCAAAGGUAGUGAGUUAUCUCAGUUGAUUGUUCAUAGCCAGCUACAGAUUGAACUCCUUAUUCUACUAUUUUUCCCUGCUUCUCACUACUGCACUUGACUAGUCUAAA